RNAcentral lists this non-coding RNA (20 nucleotides) under Arabidopsis thaliana (thale cress). The record is from RNAcentral. Lineage: Eukaryota; Viridiplantae; Streptophyta; Magnoliopsida; Brassicales; Brassicaceae.
UAAUCUCCACCUUGUGGUUC